UCCGAGUUGACCCCGGCAGUCUCCUAUGAGUCCCCGGCAUUACCCGCUGGCAACAUGAGACAAGGGUUGCGCUCGUUGCGGGACUUAACCCAACAUCUCACGACACGAGCUGACGACAGCCAUGCAGCACCUGUGUACUGGUUCUCUUUCGAGCACGAAACCAUCUCUGGUAACUUCUAGACAUGUCAAGGGUAGGUAAGGUUUUUCGCGUUGCAUCGAAUUAAUCCACAUCAUCCACCGCUUGUGCGGGUCCCCGUCAAUUCCUUUGAGUUUUAACCUUGCGGCCGUACUCCCCAGGCGGUCAACUUCUCGCGUUAGCUACGGUACUAAAAGGUUUUACCCUCCCAACACCUAGUUGACAUCGUUUAGGGCGUGGACUAC
This 381-nucleotide unclassified non-coding RNA is filed under the name uncultured Gammaproteobacteria bacterium. Its description in RNAcentral is "contains 16S-23S intergenic spacer region". Lineage: Bacteria; Pseudomonadati; Pseudomonadota; Gammaproteobacteria. The record is from RNAcentral.